Molecule: ribosomal RNA, 233 nt
Filed under: Stumpffia nigrorubra
Lineage: Eukaryota; Metazoa; Chordata; Amphibia; Anura; Microhylidae
Description: partial 16S ribosomal RNA
Source: RNAcentral
ACCACCCACCCCCACUUCUACACCACACCAACAGGACGACAUGACUACCAGUCUUUCGGCUGGGGCGGCCACGGAGAAAAACAAAACCCCCGAGAUGAAAGGAAACCCCCUUAUCCAAGAACCACUAUUCCAAGAAUCAACAAAUGACACUAUUGACCCAAUACUUGAUCAACGAACCAAGCUACCCUGGGGAUAACAGCGCAAUCCAUUUCAAGAGACCCCAUCGACAAAUG